This is a non-coding RNA of Mesocricetus auratus (golden hamster), 72 nucleotides long. The record is from Rfam. Lineage: Eukaryota; Metazoa; Chordata; Mammalia; Rodentia; Cricetidae.
UCCCUGGUGGUCUAGUCGUUAGGAUUCGGCACUCUCAUUGCCACGGCCCGGGUUCGAUUCCCAGUCAAGGAA